This is a long non-coding RNA of Xiphophorus couchianus (Monterrey platyfish), 2578 nucleotides long. RefSeq lists it as uncharacterized. The transcript is spliced from 2 exons. Lineage: Eukaryota; Metazoa; Chordata; Actinopteri; Cyprinodontiformes; Poeciliidae. The record is from RefSeq and is a predicted model, not a curated record.
CUAACUUCCUUCACGUCUGCGAUGUUCAGAGUUUUAUCGAUGUUAUUUCAUCCUGGUUGGUGUUUGAGUGAAAACGUUUUAUUGUUUGACUCCCCAGCUUCGCGUCAUCCGCCCAUGCUGAGCAUCUCCGCACAACAACCACAUAAACCACCUGGUUUUCCUGUGAGUGAAGAGGUUUCUCAUAGCAAAACCUUCUGCUAGGGACUUGUGUGCAGGAACUCGACUCAAAUCCAAACUCCAGAGAAAUUGUGAGGUGUGAACAGACAAUGGAAAGAGCCAGCAGAGGCGGAAUGGACCAGAGAGAUGUGGGAGACCAUUAAACCAGAGUGAGAACAGCUGAGUAUGUAGAAAUGAAAUGAAUGUUAAAAUCACAAACCCACAGAGAACAGGAACUAGAGAAACAGUAAAUAGGUGGAGCGCCACUUAGCCAACGCAAUGAAAAGUCAGACACAGAAGUGAGAUAAAACGGGAAGGAAAGAGAAGGAAGGAGAACUAAAUAAAACACAGAACUAUAACACUAAAUGGAACCAAAACCACAACUGAAAGUGCAUUAGCAUUUUUCUACACUUUGACAAACUUAAGUCAAUAAAAGUCUGUACUGGAUUAGUGAUGAAGAUGAAGAAAACCAACUUUAAAUGAUCCCAAAUUUCAAUGGGAUCCCUUUCUACUGAACCCAGUUCAAAAACCCUGGGUUCACAUUGAUACCCCAAAAAGAUUUAAAAUGACUAUUUUCUACUUUGAAAGAGUGGAGUUCAGGUUGUAGCAACUCAAAAAAAGAAGCUGUUGUAAUAUGACGAAAUGAAAAGAAAAACAUCACACUGACUGUAAAAUGUAAACAUAGUUUGUUAGACAUCAUAUUCCAGACUCUGACUGCGUGGCAGAUCAUGUCUGAGAAGAAAUGUCUUCUACCAAACAAAAGUGGCUUCUUCUUUCCACGAUGUCGAGUUGUGUUUUCAGUCAGAGAAAAAUCAGUCGUGACGGCUACAAACGGCAAAAGGUUUCAGACAAGAAGGGAAGUACCAUUGUUUCUAGAUUGAGUCCGGAUUUAAAAUGAAUAUUUUUGCUGCUUUCAGGCCAGAGACAGGAAGGUGGUCGGAGAUCAGGACGGAGCCAGACGUCACGCCUCCACCGCUCGCUCUCUCAACAUCGCAGCGACCGUCCUGGCGUGUUUAGGAGUUGCUGUUUACGUUGUUGUAAUCUUUGCUAUGAUUAAAUGAGUGAACCAUUGCUCAGGCUACAGAUCCUAUUGCAAUCGCAAUUAUUGCCAAUAACUAAAGUUCAGAUUGUAUGAGGGAUUUUCCAACACUGUAACGCAGUUGUUCUGUUUUUGCUCUGGUGCCAAAACGAAGUUGUGACAGUGACACUAGUAGUAAAGUCUAGGAACUUAAUUUCUGUAAAGUUUGCUUUUAUGAAACCUGGAAGGGUGUUUUGUUUCAUAAUAAUAAUAACAAUAAUAAACAUUAUGCUCUUUAAAACACAUAAAUGUCCUUUCUGUCAUGGAUUGGGUUGAUUGAGGUGGUGAGGAUGGACAUAGACCCAGGUUGAUGUGCAAUAAUGAUGGUUUUAAUGACAAACAUGAAGAGAACAGAAAUCCAGGCAGCACAGGUGAACAAUGAGGCCAGUUACUCAGACACUCUGGUGGAGCUGGGAAGACACAGGACUAACAAAGACUGACAGCAAUGACAAGGACCUGACGGGGGACAGGUAGCACAGGUGGGGCUAAACACACACAAGGGGAUAAUCAGGGAAACAAGGGGCAGCUGGAAACGAUCAAAGGGAAGACGAGACGACACCGGAAGUAGAUUAACAGAAAAACAUACAAAAAUCCACAUCCUCACCAGUGAUGUCACUUUGUAACGCGUUACUGACAUUGGACCACUUUUUUCAGUAAAGAGUAAUUUAACGCGUUUCUAUUUCAAAUCCAGUAGUCAGACUACAGUUACUUAUCGAAACCACUUUGUGUUACUAUCUUCUUUUGUAAUUGAAUUUUAUUUAAUCUACGUGUCUUUUGGAGUGACCCCCGUUUCUAUGUGACAGUGUCAGCAGCGACAGAAAUGUAAAAAAAAAAAAAAAUGGACGGAGAUGCGCAUUUUGUAGAUGAAAAGAUGUUGAGUUUCGCUCGCCAAAUUCGUUUAUUAUAAGCGGCUUUGGGCUUGUUUUUGUCUUUCUAAAGUCGCUUGCAAAUUGAAUGAGCUGCGCUUUUUGGGUUUGGAAAUCAGCAGACAUAAACCCCAGAGUUUGUCUGACGCCCAGUUAAUUUUAGUCCAUCAUUACCCGGAUGAUCCGUCCCGCUGUGUUUUUGUUAAUGUUAAGUUAAUAUAUUUUCUGUUGAGGUUGAGUUUUGCGUUGCGCUCCAGAAAACUGCAAACAUUGAGACCAAUUUGAACAGCGCAACAAACGUGAAAACAGCCACGACUGAACGUGUCCGUAAAGUUGUGGGACUAAACGCCAUUAUAAUUAUUAAUAUUAAGAUUAGUGUCACAAAUCUGUGCAGCAUCUGAGCUGUGGAGCUGCAGGAGACGCGCUGUGUGCUGUUCUAAAAUCCUAUUUAGAGUUUUCUAGACAAUGCAGGAACACA